RNAcentral lists this ribosomal RNA (390 nucleotides) under Picozoa sp. RNAcentral's name for it is "partial small subunit ribosomal RNA". It matches the Rfam family "Eukaryotic small subunit ribosomal RNA", at positions 581 to 975 of the family's 1831-position model. The record is from RNAcentral. Lineage: Eukaryota; Picozoa.
AUUCCCAGCUCCAAUAGCGUAUAUUAAUGUUGUUGCAGUUAAAAAGCUCGUAGUCGGAUUUUUGUGUCAUGUCGAACUGUCUGCCGAUUGGUUUGUACGGUUUGACGGGCAUAUUCCUUCCAGAGGCUCCGUGAGGCCUUCAUUGGUUUCGCGGUUGAAUCUGGGUCUUUUACUUUGAAAAAAUUAGAGUGUUCAAAGCAGGCCUAUGCUCGAAUAGGUUAGCAUGGGAUAACAGAAUAGGACUUCGGUCUUAUUUUGUUGGUUUCUAGGACCGAAGUAAUGAUUAACAGGGACAGUUGGGGGCAUUCAUAUUCCAUUGUCAGAGGUGAAAUUCUUGGAUUAACGGAAGAUGAACUUCUGCGAAAGCAUCUGCCAAGGAUGUUUUCAUUA